RNAcentral lists this ribosomal RNA (752 nucleotides) under Leptolyngbya boryana SBM-IAUF-3. RNAcentral's name for it is "bacterial SSU rRNA". It matches the Rfam family "Bacterial small subunit ribosomal RNA", at positions 45 to 845 of the family's 1533-position model. Lineage: Bacteria; Bacillati; Cyanobacteriota; Cyanophyceae; Leptolyngbyales; Leptolyngbyaceae. The record is from RNAcentral.
UGCUUACAAUGCAGUCGACGGUCUCUUCGGAGAUAGUGGCGGACGGGUGAGUAACGCGUGAGAACAUGCCUUUAGAUUGGGGACAACAGUUGGAAACGACUGCUAAUACCGAAUGUGCCUUAGGGUGAAAGAUUUAUUGUCUAGAGAUUGGCUCGCGUCAGAUUAACUAGUUGGAGUGGUAACGGCACACCAAGGCGACGAUCUGUACUUGGUCUGAGAGGAUGACCAGGCACACUGGAACUGAGACACGGUCCAGACUCCUACGGGAGGCAGCAGUGGGGAAUUUUCCGCAAUGGGCGAAAGCCUGACGGAGCAAUACCGCGUGAGGGAGGACGGCUUUUGGGUUGUAAACCUCUUUUAUCAGGGAAGAAUCGAUGACGGUACCUGAUGAAUCAGCAUCGGCUAACUCCGUGCCAGCAGCCGCGGUAAUACGGAGGAUGCAAGCGUUAUCCGGAAUUAUUGGGCGUAAAGCGUCCGUAGGUGGUUUAUCAAGUCUGCUGUCAAAGCGUGCGGCUUAACCGCAUAAGGGCAGUGGAAACUGAUGAACUAGAGUGCGAUAGGGGUAACAGGAAUUCCCAGUGUAGCGGUGAAAUGCGUAGAUAUUGGGAAGAACACCAGCGGCGAAAGCGUGUUACUGGGUCUGCACUGACACUGAGGGACGAAAGCUAGGGGAGCGAAAGGGAUUAGAUACCCCUGUAGUCCUAGCCGUAAACGAUGACAACUAGGCGUGGUUCGUAUCGACCCGAGCCGUG